GACUUGUGUGCGCCGGAUGCGGCGAUCUGCGGCCAAAAGGUCGUUGCGAUCUGCCCGUCCUGGCGCCGUAAAAUUUGCAACUGGGUCGCCGCUGGCCUUAAUUGAUCGGUGGCGUCUGCUCGGUUGCUCGUUUACUGUGAGAAAAUUGGAGUGUUCAAGGCAGGCGUGGAUUGCAACUGAACAUGUUAGCAUGGAAUAAUAAGAUAGGGCUCCGGCUCAUAUUUUGUUGGUUUCUAGAGCGUGGGAGUAAUGAUUGAUAGGGAUAGUUGGGGGUGCUAGUAUUCAGUGGCCAGAGGUGAAAUUCUCGGAUUCACUGAAGACUAACUUAUGCGAAAGCAUU
RNAcentral lists this ribosomal RNA (340 nucleotides) under uncultured Polymyxa. RNAcentral's name for it is "SSU rRNA". The stretch from base 124 to 340 matches the Rfam family "Eukaryotic small subunit ribosomal RNA", at positions 744 to 955 of the family's 1831-position model. The record is from RNAcentral. Lineage: Eukaryota; Endomyxa; Phytomyxea; Plasmodiophorida; Plasmodiophoridae.